GACAGGGGUCUCGAGCGUUAAUCGGAAUCACUGGGCUUAAAGGGUGCGUAGGCGGGUCUUUAAGUCAGGGGUGAAAUCCUGGAGCUCAACUCCAGAACUGCCUUUGAUACUGAGGAUCUUGAGUUCGGGAGAGGUGAGUGGAACUGCGAGUGUAGAGGUGAAAUUCGUAGAUAUUCGCAAGAACACCAGUGGCGAAGGCGGCUCACUGGCCCGAUACUGACGCUGAGGCACGAAAGCGUGGGGAGCAAACAGG
RNAcentral lists this ribosomal RNA (253 nucleotides) under uncultured bacterium. Its description in RNAcentral is "partial 16S ribosomal RNA". It matches the Rfam family "Bacterial small subunit ribosomal RNA", at positions 524 to 776 of the family's 1533-position model. The record is from RNAcentral.